RNAcentral lists this ribosomal RNA (490 nucleotides) under uncultured Eubacteriales bacterium. RNAcentral's name for it is "bacterial SSU rRNA". It matches the Rfam family "Bacterial small subunit ribosomal RNA", at positions 36 to 507 of the family's 1533-position model. The record is from RNAcentral. Lineage: Bacteria; Bacillati; Bacillota; Clostridia; Eubacteriales.
CGUCAGGAUAAAACGACUGGCGGCGCGACGUAAGACAUGCAAGUCGUAACGAACUUAACCCUUUAGUUUUACAUUGGGUAGGCGGUUAGUGGCGGACGUGGUGAGUAACACGUAAGACGAACCUAGCCUAUUAGAGGGGAAGUAACAGUGAGAAAUCAUUGCUAAUACCGCAUAUGCUCACAGUAUCACAUGAUACAGUGAGGAAAGGAGCAAUCCACUAAUAGAUGGGCUUGCGUCUGAUUAGCUAGUUGGUGGGGUAACGGCCUACCAAGGCGACGAUCAGUAGCCGGACUGAGAGGUUGAACGGCCACAUUGGGACUGAGAUACGGCCCAGACUCCUACGGGAGGCAGCAGUCGGGAAUAUUGCGCAAUGGAGGAAACUCUGACGCAGUGACGCCGCGUAUAGGAAGAAGGUUUUCGGAUUGUAAACUAUUGUCGUUAGGGAAGAUAAAAGACAGUACCCAAGGAGGAAGCUCCGGCUAACUAUGUG